Molecule: non-coding RNA, 710 nt
Organism: Ceratotherium simum simum (southern white rhinoceros)
Lineage: Eukaryota; Metazoa; Chordata; Mammalia; Perissodactyla; Rhinocerotidae
Source: RefSeq, a predicted model, not a curated record
GCAAUGAUUUUUAAGUCUUUGUCUUGUACACAGUAAAAGUUUGUUAACCAACUGUCUAAUCUCUUCCCUAAUGAGAAUGUUCAAUACACUGAAACCUAGAAUGACCUCUCUCCCUUCGUAGGUACACAGGAGAGAUGUACAUACAGACUUUAAAACAAAUAACUCAACAAUCCCAAAUUCUCUCACAAAAUGUUAACAUGAUUAUAAUCACAUAAUCCAGAUUUUCUUGGGGAAAGUUUUUCAGGACUAAUCUCACAAAGCUAUAACCAAUUAUCUAAAACAAAGUCUUGUGUUCCAUGAAUGUUUCUUGAGGUGAUGAUUUGUAAAUUCAGCCAUUACACACUUGUGGGAAACCAGCUCACGUUUAAUCAUGACACUUUAAAAUUGUACAAGUGUUUUGACACCCGCACCCUCCCUCCAUAUUUAGUCUCAUUAAAAUGACAGGAAAACACCAAUCACAGGUUUAAUGGGUUUAAUAAGUUUACCCCUUCAGUUCCUAUUUGCAGCACCCAGUAUUCCUUUGAGAUACCAGAGAGACCCGGCAGUGGCCAACCGUAAAUUUCAGACCUCCAGAGUUUAAAAGUUCUGGUUCUUUCAGCAUUCUGUGUUGCAGUGGCACUUGUCCAAAAUCGGUACCUCCCUAUAGUUGGGAAACUUUAUUAUGUACCAGUGAAAAAAGCCUUUUCUCCCUUCAAGGGAAGAAAGAAAAA